Eriocheir sinensis (Chinese mitten crab) is the source of this 519-nucleotide long non-coding RNA. RefSeq lists it as uncharacterized. The transcript has 4 exons. The record is from RefSeq and is a predicted model, not a curated record. Lineage: Eukaryota; Metazoa; Arthropoda; Malacostraca; Decapoda; Varunidae.
CGUAAAGAGAGGAGGAGGGAAGGUCAUCGUGGAGAAGGCCCCUCAGGCUCGUAUCGACAAGAAGUAUUUGUUUCCUUUGCCAGUCGGUCAAUUCUACUUCCUCAUGCGCAAGAUAAUUCCCCUGAGACCCGAGGAUGCCCUCAUCUUCUUCGUCAACAAUGUGAUUCCUCCCACCAGCGCCACCAUGGGAUCGCUCUACCAGGGAAGCAACCGAGAUAAGACCAGACUCUGCCCUCCAGUGAGCCCAGGAGACCACCGAGGGACACCCACGCACCUCAUGGCAUGGGGGAGGACGGAUGGAGAUGGUGGGGAGGGAGACAGAGACGAGACCACUGAGCCGAAGGAACCAGUCAGGCCUUCAAGAUGCUGCCUGGAUGCUGGGGGAGACCAGACGAGACGAGUCCUGUAGAGGAGAAGAUGGAAGGAGAUUAAUUGAAGGGCAGAGAUGAGCGAGAGAUGGAACUAACUCUCUCUCCCUGUAUUUUUAUAAAGAGAAUACUAAUAAAGUUUGGAAAUAUA